Molecule: long non-coding RNA, 671 nt
Organism: Ornithorhynchus anatinus (platypus)
Lineage: Eukaryota; Metazoa; Chordata; Mammalia; Monotremata; Ornithorhynchidae
Exons: 2
Source: RefSeq, a predicted model, not a curated record
AAAAAGUUGUCUGACAUCCCUACUCUCCUCUCUCCAGGUUCGAGAUGAUUGAUCCUCCCGGAGACACGAGCAUCUGGUGAUUUUUAGAUGUGAUCCUCAGCUGUGGACAGAGAACAUGAGGCUGCCCAGUGCGUUUCCCGGGCCCUGAGGACCAUCCCUCUACAGUUUGGACUGUCAAGUCAAUUCUCGGGAGUUGCCCUGCCGUUGAGAGAGAGCUGCAGGCUGCAUUGUCAUCUCAAAGGAAAGGUGUUUGUCGUGUGUGUGUGUGUGUGUGUGUGUGUGUGUGUGUACACACGUGCACGAAGAGGGGUGAGGUGGUUUAAUUAGGUGGGGAGAUAUAACAGUGAGGAAGUGGUUGCCAUUGUUGACACAGAAGCUGGUUCUGAAAAUGGGGACUGGGACUCUGUGCAAGGCACAGGUUCUAUUUGACUUGAUUUAGGGACUGAAGACCCGGGGCCUUGAAUUCUAAGAUGCAUCAAAGUCUUGCCUUUCAGAGCCACCCUGCCCAUCUUCAAUCACCAAAGCAGCGAUUGUUCUGCGUCUGACAAUGGCUUCUGGGGAAGCUAGGUAGCUGAUGCUUUGUCCGAAGUAAGGCAGGGCCGGUCACUGUUUACCUCAUCUGCUGCUGAGAAAUUGAGCUGUUGGGAUUUGUAGGAGAUGGAUGUUAGUUG